UACGGGGGGAGCAAGCGUUGUUCGGAUUUACUGGGCGUAAAGGGCGCGUAGGCGGUCAGCACAAGUCAGUUGUGAAAUCUCCGGGCUUAACUCGGAAAGGUCAACUGAUACUGUGCGACUAGAGUGCAGAAGGGGCAACUGGAAUUCUCGGUGUAGCGGUGAAAUGCGCAGAUAUCAGGAGGAACACCUAUUGCGAAGGCAGCUCGCUGGGACGUUACUGACGCUGAGACGCGAAAGCGUGGGGAGCAAACAGG
This 254-nucleotide ribosomal RNA is filed under the name uncultured bacterium. RNAcentral's name for it is "partial 16S ribosomal RNA". It matches the Rfam family "Bacterial small subunit ribosomal RNA", at positions 524 to 776 of the family's 1533-position model. The record is from RNAcentral.